RNAcentral lists this long non-coding RNA (2309 nucleotides) under Struthio camelus australis. RNAcentral's name for it is "lncRNA (ENSSCUG00000006401.1)". The record is from RNAcentral. Lineage: Eukaryota; Metazoa; Chordata; Aves; Struthioniformes; Struthionidae.
AGCUAUGUGGCUAACGCUCCCCUGCCGCCAGGGAUAAAAAAAACCUCAAUUACCUAAGAGACCGGUUCAAAAGUUUGCUCGGUUGUUCUGGCAUAACAGACUUGCCGCUCGGUGCCUGUUUGCCUGACAGGAGAAAAAUUGAUCUGCUGACGUGACGUCAGCACGGUGGCUUGUGCCGUGACACUUGGGCAGGCGCUCUGGGAACUGCAGUCCUCGUGGGCUCCCACCAGGGUCUGAAAUCCACCAAGUGUUUGAGGAAACCAUGAAAAUAAUGCCUGCCGUUUCAUUUACGCAGGGGCAUAGACCGGAAACCUCUUCUGGCCUUGGACAGCGCUGUGGUAGAGUUUGCUUUGUGCCAGUCUGUAGCUCAUCACCGGGUCCUGGAUGAAAGGUUUAUGACACCCCAACAUCAUCCCCAUUCUGCUUCAUUAUGUAACGAUUAACUUCUAAGGACUCCGUUUACUUUGUGACCUUUGGCGUCUGAUACUUCUCGUAUGCCAAACAUUUGAGGGCACAUGAGGAAUACUUUUAACCAAUAUUAUGGUUUUGUUAAUGUAUUGCAAACUAUUUCUACAAGAGCAGCAUCAAAGUUUUAUCUGCUAAAUAAAUAUUACAGGGCUAAGCUAGUACACAGAGUAGAUCUGGAGGAAUUUCCGCGCUGGAGCAGACCCAAAGUCCAUCUAGAGAACAGCUCUGUACAAUUGGCAUACGGUGAUGAGUGAAACUGGAGCUUCAGCAAGUUUGUCCGAGACGGAGAACCAGUCUCAAUGUCUUCCUGAAAAGGACUGCUUUUGCUCAGCUCCCUUUGCUGCAGCGCCACCUCCCUUGUUCUGAUCCGAUAAAAGUCUUCUGUCUGUACCAUAAAAACCUGGAAUCCUGCGGAAAUGCUGAACGCAAAGCACUUAAAACUGCGCACGUGUACCCAAGUCGGAGGAGUAGAACAUGGUUACUAACAGCCAGCCACGCUACAGUCAUUGAAAGGGGAAUGCAGAUCCUGGCAGGUUCAGUGGGCAUCCAGAGCAGCCGACAGCACUGCCGGGAUGAGCGGGCGGCAGGAGCAGCGAGGAAGAUGUUGCAUGCUCAGCAGGGCGAUGAAGUUGUUUUGCAACACAGGCGUGUUCCAGGUGACUGCUGGGUCACUUUGGUCGGUGGGGUUGGAAGAGAGCCGUUGUCUGCUUCCUCGAUGAUCUACCAGCUCUUAUGUUUGGAAAGAGCUUGGACCUGGAGCGCCGGGUGCAAUGUCAGAACCUGUACAGAGCAGAGGGUGCUGGAGGAGAAUUUGUUUCAGCAGUGGAGUUUCAGGAGGUGAGUAUAAACUUUCCCUCUGGGGGUUAUGGUCACCCAUUUGUUUCCCAGUCCUCCACUCUGCUUUCAAAACCAUGCUGCAAGUGCUAGGACAAAACUUUCAACCCAGCUGUCUCUGAGCUACCAAAAUAUCUUCUUUGCCCCUUGACCAGCUGUCAAGACUUUCCUGGAGUUCCUAGAACAAGCAUCCUAGGUAAUGUUUCCCUUGGCCUAUGAGCAAUGGUAGGGAUGCUCUGGAGAUGAAUAGUAGGAUUGCUCAUUUGCUGUCAGGCAUCUAUCCUAAGCAAGUGCCUCAAUAGCCGGUUCAUCCAGGCUGCCUCCCCUGCCUUUGUAAUACUCCAGUCUUGUUGUGCUCUUUAGGGUGAGAUUGUGGUUCAAGAAGAAAGUGUCUCAGAGCAAAAAUUGUGCAGCUCCAGAGCCUUGAUUAUUCAACUAGUUUGAAACACUUUAAAGGAUCCCUAAAAAUAGGUAAAAGGGAUGUUUGUCAGCUGCAAAGGGAUUAUCAUGCAGUAGUGUUGCUUGUCUUAUUUUAUGAUGAUGCUACAGAAUACAGUCCCUCAGGUAGCCUCAUUAAUGUUUAUGAAUGAACCCCUUGUUUUAUGCUUUUGGUUUUAGAACACAGAAAUAGGGCGAGAGGCUAGUACGAGUAGUCUUAACCACGUGUGCUUUGGAAAGCUCAAGGACAGGGAUGUAAGGUCUCCAUAAACCUCAGUGGUUCUGUGUAUGGAUGACAAAUGGAUUUAGGCUUGUCCUAGACCAGCAGAGUAGAUGUAGCCUAAGGGAGAAAUUGAAGCAGAACUUUGGCUAAAAUCCUCAGUGAAAUUCUGCACGUUGCACUAAAUUUCCCCGUGAACCUGUCAAUAGGAAGUUGUCACUCCUGUACGUCUCACCAGUCACUUUGUUUGGAUCUCUUCUGGUUGCAAAGGCAACCUGUGACCGUAUAUUGCCAUAAUCAUAAGCACAUCCACAGAGCAAUAUCCAGUAGACCCUGUUGCCUGUCAGCA